Entelurus aequoreus (snake pipefish) is the source of this 760-nucleotide long non-coding RNA. RefSeq lists it as uncharacterized. The transcript is spliced from 3 exons. NCBI's taxonomy places the organism in Eukaryota, Metazoa, Chordata, Actinopteri, Syngnathiformes, Syngnathidae. The record is from RefSeq and is a predicted model, not a curated record.
AACACAGUGGUCUGAUGAACCAAGAGGAGCUUCCACUCACAUGGUGUGAUUAUCAGGUGAAGUGGUGAGAACAUCAUCAAGCUUUGAGCAGGAUCCAUCGCUUCCAUAUCUGCGCUUCCAAGCCAUUUUUAAUGGUGUGCAUUCAUGUCUCCAAGGAUAAUGAUCUCUUCUCUUGGGUGUAGAUCCCCAGCUGGAACCAUCGGAAAGAAAGAAUGCAUGAGGGAUUCCUGUGGUGAGAAAGUUCACAACCAGUUGCCAACCUCCUGAUAUUUAGUGAAGGAUUUGUCUUUUGGGGAUUUCUUCCGAUGUUGCCACUACAUAAUAAGAGCAACAAAAAUAAUUGUAAAGAGAGAAAAAACAAAAUCGUAGUUAUUCGUUCCAUCAAUCGUCAAAAUAAAAGGAGUUUACAAGGCUUUUUUUGUAUGGAAUGUAAUAAUAGUAAUAGACGGAGUGGGCUAUCAACCAGGGCUGGACGAUUAUGGCAAAAAUAAUAACCACGAUUAUUUUUAUUGAUAUUGUAAUCACGAUUAAUAACACGAUUGUUCAUUAAUUUGAAAACAUGAGUAUUUAUUAUACCACCAAAACUAAAAAAAAUGUAUAUACAUUUGUAACAAAUAAACAAGUAAAAGAAUAAGAAUACCCGAAAUAACAAUAGAUUUAAAUAACAAAAGCAAUAUAAAAAACAAUACAAUUAAUUUUUUCCUUUUUAAUUGUCUUUGAUCCCGUUUUUUUACCUUUUACACUUAUUUUACCACCAUAG